CUUUUUUCACUCAUCUCCUUCACCUUCUUCCUUCUAUCACUAUCAUGCUUCAUCAAACACCUUAUUCCUCUCUCUAUUUGAUCACAUUUCACAAUUUCUCCACUGUCAUUUCUAUAAUCCAUUUUAAUUUCAACUGCUAAUCCCAACUCAAUCACCAUUUGAAAGGCAUUGAAUUGCUGUUCUGCAUACAUUGGCCAUGUGGCAACUGGGACUCCAAACCAUAUGCUCUCUAAUAUAGAAUUCCAUCCACUGUGAGAAACAAAUCCUCCGGUGGCCGGAUGAGCCAAGACAGCCACUUGUGGAGCCCAACCUAUCACCUUUCCAAUCCCAGAUGUUCUUUCCAAGAAUCCUUCAGGCAAGUCUUCUUGUAAAUCCUCAUAGUCACUCGGAGAUUCUAGAAAACCCGGCGCCGGUGGUCGGCGUAGAGACCAUAAGAAUCGAUGCCCACUAUUCUCUAGAGCACAAGCAAUCUCUUUCACUUGAUCUUUACUGAAACUUCCACUGCUUCCAAAGCAUAAGAACACUACGGAUGAUGGAGGUUGAUCAUCAAGCCAUUGCAUGAUUUCUUGAUUAGUGUUUCUUCCAUCUGACCUCACGUCUAAGAUGGGUCCUACGGGGUAGAUUGGAGGGUUUUUCAAAGACUCAAUCGCAUGGGAUUCCAGCUCGAAGAACGUAUUUACUAUAACACCCUUAGCUUCUCCAUAUCUUCUUGUAUUUUCAAGUAGAGGAGGAAACCAUUCUUUGCUCAAAAUUUCAGUAGGCAUAGCCUUAGCAGGAAAUGCGUUUACUAAACCCGGAACUUGUAACUCACCAUCUGACGCGUUGAACUCAAUGGGGUUAAAAUUUUCUUCGUCAUGAAUCUUUUGCACAUGAAGCAUGAAAUUGAGAAAAGCUGCACCCGACGUGUAGAAAAUGUAAGAUGGAACACCAAAUUCAUUCGCCACAUCUAUCAUCGCUGUGAAGAACAUAUCAACAAUGAAACCCACCAACCGAGGCGACUCAACACUUGAACCAGACUCAGUGAUCUUCAUCACAGUUUCUUUAACAUGGGGUUUCUGUUUCUCAAUCAAAGAAGAGAAACUAGAAAUUCCGGUCUCAUCUUUGCGCAGAUAAAUGAAUCGGAGACGAUUGGAGGAGGAAGCAAUCUGAGAUUCAACAUAGCUAUGAACUUUGGAGGGAACUAUAGAAUGAUUCAAGAUAAGUACAGAGAUGGAGAGACUGUGACAGCGGCUAAGAAGAAGCUUCGCUGUUUCCACAGCCGAUACAAGGUGACCCAUAGCAGGGGCGGGGACGAACACAAGCUGUGCUUUUUUCAUUUUUGGAAAUGAUACAAUAUUCUUAUUUUUGCUGCCAAGUAUCGAAAAUGGGGUUAGGAUGAUGAUGAUAAGCUUGAAGUAUUUAUAGCCAUAGUACUACUUGUGGGUGUUGCAAUAAGACAAGAACUGUAUUGUUCUUUCUCUAAGUAUUCUAACACGACAUGUUACCUUGGCGGCCAUGAAUUCAAUUGACGUCAUGGCUUUGCUGGUUUGGUCGAUCUUAUAGACAAGGAUUCUUAUUAAAAAUUAUAAAGUACAUGACCGUAUGACCGAGUCUGUUUGAUUUUUCGUUCUUUUCUUAAUAAAGAAAAGAAUGGCGUCUGCAUCGUUCAUGCGAAGGUUCCAGUUGCCUAACCUUUAUUUUUUAUUAAUAUAAGGGAAAUUUACUUUGUAGUCCCUGAGAUUUAACGUAAUUAACACUUCUGUCCCUCUAUUUUGGCGACCCAACACUUNNNNNNNNNNNNNNNNNNNNNNNNNNNNNNNNNNNNNNNNNNNNNNNNNNNNNNNNNNNNNNNNNNNNNNNNNNNNNNNNNNNNNNNNNNNNNNNNNNNNNNNNNNNNNNNNNNNNNNNNNNNNNNNNNNNNNNNNNNNNNNNNNNNNNNNNNNNNNNNNNNNNNNNNNNNNNNNNNNNNNNNNNNNNNNNNNNNNNNNNNNNNNNNNNNNNNNNNNNNNNNNNNNNNNNNNNNNNNNNNNNNNNNNNNNNNNNNNNNNNNNNNNNNNNNNNNNNNNNNNNNNNNNNNNNNNNNNNNNNNNNNNNNNNNNNNNNNNNNNNNNNNNNNNNNNNNNNNNNNNNNNNNNNNNNNNNNNNNNNNNNNNNNNNNNNNNNNNNNNNCAAAGUAAUUUUCCCUUAAUAUAAUUUUGUUUUGUUUUUUUCUUUGCUUUUGCGUAACAAAAAAUCACUUUUUUUACUAUAAUUUUUCUAGAUAUUUAAAACCCUUAAGAGGGCAUUUUACCUGUUGAAAUGAUACUGGAUCUUGAGUUUUAUAAGUUGAGGUAAAAUUCGGAUCCAGAAAUCCAAAAUUAAGAGGUAUCCCAUAGGCAAUAAUUUUAGAAUGUGAGGAUAAAUAUUGAGAAUAUUUAUAAUCGAAAUUAUAAUUUUUUACUUUAUGACAAUGAUAAACUAUAAAUAGCAUUAUAAACACUAGUAUAAUCAAUUUCACAUCUAAUAGAUUAAAAAACCGCAUUAUAUGCUUUCUAUACUACUGUCUGCACAACAAAACCCUCCUUUUGUUUGCACUUUGAAACAAGGUACUAUUGCCUUUUUCAUAUUAUACUAUUGCCUUUUUCACAUAAAACAAACAUACAAGCUAGCAAACAAUUUGAAACAUAAAACGUUAUUACUAUUGCCUUUUUCAUGUUCUUUUUUCAUUGUUUUCCUUUGGUCUAUUGUCCAUUGAUUGAGUUUUCUUUUAUUUUUAUUUACUAAUUACUCUUCAUAAUUUUUUUUCUUAUUUGAUUUGAUAAACAUUGUAGCCUUUUUUGACUCUCCUUAAUUGUUUGCACUUUGAUAUUAAUGUUCUGAAAUCUAAAGAGUAGAAUUUACAGUAUAAGUGUAAGUUUAGACGGAGAGAAAAAUAUUUCUGUCUUUUUAUCCAUUUUUCUUUUAUCUACUAGUGAUGUCUAACGGUCUCUCUAUUACAGUGCCAUUUAUCUCUAUUAUUCAGGUCCGUACGUACGAACAUGUCAGACUCCCUCUCCAUGCUAAAUGGCCAUUUAAUUCGCUCGGCACGCAUACGGGCAGGGCUGUGAAGUGAUUGGACUACCUGCUCUCUUUCACGUCACAUCACUAGGCUAGAUUAUUUUCUACUAGUUUUUGGCUUGCUUCCGACUCGGCCUACUCUGCGUAUUUAGGCCGAGACCGAGACUUGAGACGUUGAACCGGUCAACUAAAGGAAGGUUUCAUGAGUUUUGAGUCAACGUUAUUCUCUUGGACUUGAUCUCGUCCAAGAUAGAUGAGUUCCGACGGUCAUCGAGUAUGAUAAUUGAGGGAUCUUAGUAGGUGAAUAAGAAUUCAAACACAAAUAAGAAAGUUAAAAAAUUUGUUUGUGAAGGAAAAAAAAAUCAAUACUAUGUUACAUUUUAUUUAAAUUAUCCACCACAUCUUUCAGAAAAUUUCCUAAUGAUAAGUAUGAAGACCCACCAUUCCUUAAAGCCAUUCUGCUCUUCUCACUCAUCUGCUUUACCUUCUUCUUUUUCUCACUAUCAUCCUCCAUCAAACACUUUAUUCCUCUCUCAAUUUCAUCACAUUUCACAAUUUCUCCACUGUCAUUUCUAUAAUCCAUUUUAAUUUCUACUGAUAAUCCCAACUCAAUCACCAUUUCAAAGGCGUUGAACUGUUGCUCUGCAUAUAUUGGCCAUGCGGCUACUGCAACGCCAAACCAUAUGCUCUCCAGUAGAGAAUUCCACCCACAGUGUGACACAAAGCCUCCCACCGCUGGAUGAGCCAAGACAGCCACUUGUGGAGCCCAUCCUAUCACCUUUCCAAUCCUAGCCGUUCGAUCCAAGAAGCCUUCGGGCAAGACUUGUUGUGGAUUCUCGUAGUCGCUUAACGAUGCUUCGGCGGCCGAAGGUGGUGGGUGGCGUAAAGACCACAAGAAUCGAUACCCACUAUGUUCUAGAGCAUAGGCAAGUUCUUUUACUUGAUCUUUUUAAUCAUGAGUUGAUCUGAGUUCCACAUCAGUUGUUAUCGUUGAAUCCCACAUCGAUUGUGGAAAGGGAUAAUGUGCCCCUUAUAUGAGCCACAUACAAUCCUUCUCCUUGAGCUAACUUUUGGGGUGAGUUAGGCCUAACUCAAAUUUAACAUGGUAUCAAAGCCUCCCCAUCCAAUGUUGUGUCUCCCAUAAAUAUGUCAUGCACCAGUAAAAUUCUGGGCGUGAGGGGGUGUGUUGAAUCCCACAUCGGUUGUGGAAAGGGUUAAUGUGCCACAAAUUUAACAGUUGUCAAAUCACGGUGAUAGAUAAAUUUCUAUUUAUCUAUUUUUAUUUGUUUCAUAAUUUUUUUUCAGUUUACUUUAUUAUUUUAUUAUUUCAGUUUAUCUUAUAGUCUCUCUUACAAAAAAAAAGGCUAUAUUUAUGUGAAAAAAAAAUUAUUUCAAUUGUGUAAUAUUUUAAAAAAAGAUGAGAGAAAAAAAAAGAGUGAAGAAAAAAAAAGAUCGUUUCGAUUAUUUGAUUUAAAAAAAAAAAAGAGAAAAAGAGGAGAGAUGUCAAAGUAUAAUUGAUCAAGCAUAAUUUAGCCACAUUUUUAUUAUAUUUAUUAUUGCUUUUUUACACAUUUUCUAGCUUCAUUUAUGAUUUUUAUCUCGUUUUUGAAGAAAAGGAAGAAAAUGGAUAAUUGGAGAAAAAGUGCAUAAAAAGCUGGAAAAUGAUUGGGGCAACGAUCUGGGCAAAUCACUGCCCAAAUCAAACUGGAGCAGAAAACUGGGAUUAACUCACAGACAGUGAUUGGGGCAACGAUCUGGGCAAAUCACUGCCCAGAUCAAGCUGAAGCAGAAACCUGGAGGCAACAGGCAGAAGUGAUAUGGGCAAGUGAUCUGCUCAAAUCACUCGCAGAAACUGCCCAAAUCACUCGCAGAGACAGAAAACUGAAACUGGACAGACUUGCAAAAAACGAUCGGGGCAGAUAGACCAAGCGAUCUGCCCAAAUCACUGCCCCAAUCACAUUGACAGCAAAAUUGACAACAGAGGCGGGAAAACAGCAGGAAACCGAAUUUCGAAUUUUCAGAAGUCCAAAUCCAACUCAAUCACUACCAACACAAUUCCAAGAGCCACGAAAGAGUUUCUCACCUAAGGAAUUCCAGUUGCAAUUAAAUUCAACAUCAAAAGAGGAAUCACAAGCCAAAUUAAAAAGGGAUUUCAAAACCCUAGAAUGAUGGAAUUCUUCAGCUAUAAAAGGGCAGCCUCCAAACCAGCAAGAGGCAUCUCUUCUUCAUCUCAUCUUCAGCAAUUCUGCAGAAAAAUGCAGCAGCUUGUCUCCUUCUUUUCUUCUUCUUUUCUUUUGUGAUUUUGUCCACCAUGAGUGGCUAAACACUUUUCUUUUCUAGUUGAAGUGGAAAAAUUCAGAUUUGUGAUGAAUUGGGAGAUUUAAAUCUCCAUUGUUAAACUUCUAUUUAUUUUCAAUAUUUAUGCAAUUUGAUCUUUCUAUAAUUGUUGCUUUGCUUUUAGAAUCAAUUUAGGCCUAUUGCUUUUAAUUGCUUGAGUAACAAUUGUUUGAAUAAUUUAGGUCCGUAAUUGCUUAGAUUAUUUAAACACACAUUUAAUCAAGUUGCAUAAUCUAAACUUGACCACGCGGUUGGCAAGGUUAUAAUUAGGUUUCUCUAAGUAUUAAUGCAGUUAACAGUUGUUCGAUGCUAAAAGCCCCAAGGACGUUCCUUGGCAACUUGUUAACUAGUGUUUGAUUAGCGAACGUUUCCUAAUCAAACUAGAACUAAGGAGGAAUUUGGAUUGUGAGAAGCGUCUUCCACAUCCUAAACUAAUUUAUUGAAAUAAAUAGGAGUAUCAAAAUAAUCAAUGAUCAAUUCUGAACAAACUGAAAUAGAUCCAUACUUCAACUAGAAGCUUUUCUCCCAUUGAUAUUCUCAUUUAUUUAAACUAUUGCUUUCUCUUGCUUUCUAGAUUUAAUUCAUCAAAACAAAACCCCCCUCUUUUUAUUUAUUUGUUAUUUAUUUGCCUUAGUCAUUAUUAGGAAGAUAUUUGGUAUCAAAUCCCUGUGGUUCGACCCUAUUGCCACUAUCUAUAAAUUUAUUUGUUGAUUGAUAAUAGGUUUAUUUUUGACGGCUUCGACAACCGCUUAUCAAUAAUGUUUCAUUUACAAAAUUUCAUACUGAAUUUAAAGAGGAUCACAAGUGUGUUAAUCAUUUUCUUGUCAUUAUGAUUGAAGAUUUGAAGAAAAAUCUUUUCAAGGAGGGAGAGAUUGAUAUGGGCACGGGAAUGGCAUGAUUCUUUAACAGCAAGUUGUAAAUUGAAGUAUUUAAACUCUUCAAAAAAUUAAUAUGAGAAGUUCUAAAUUAUGACAAGUCAAAUUACAUCGCUUAAUUCAAAACUUACGAGAUGAGAACUAUAUUUGGGACACAUGGGAGAAUAAGAAAAUAAGCAACACACUCUUUAGCACAUAUAGACGCGUAACACAAUUUUAGAUCGCGUAAUGUAUGUAUGGCUGAAUUACACUUAAGGCAAUUUUGUUAUUUUGGUAUUUUAGUAUUUUGUGGAAUUUAUUUUAAAUUAAUUUGAGCUAAAUUAGAAGUCAAAUUUAUACAACCCAUUUAGAGAGGAGAUUUCUCCAAGACAAAUUGGAAAAAUGAUCUUUAAUGUAAUUUAGGUUUGACUAUUUGACUAGAUACACUUCCUAUAUUGUAAUUACACCUUCCCACACUAGAAUUAGGGUUUAGAGGCUAUAAAAACACCUUUAAGGUGGUAGCCACAAUUGGACAAUGAAAAAAAGAUGAUGUUAUAAAUAAUAUUUUGGUUCAAAAAAAUAAUAUUAUGAAUAAUAUUUUAAUUCUUCUCCAUUUUUUAAUAAUUUAUAAGGUUCAACCUUGUGACAUUCUAAUAUAGACUCUAUACUUAGUUAACUUAUCAAGAAUUUCUUGUGGCGUUCACAAGGUGGAGUCUUUUGAUUAUCUAUAUUUCUAAUCACAUUGGUUGGUUAGGGGUAUAGUAGAGUAACCUUUGACCAUAAUCUUCAUUUCUAAUCAUAUUAGUUGGUUAGGGGUGUGGUAGAGCAACCUCUAGAAGAUAUUUUUACCUCGCUCGUUGUCAAGUUGUGUGAUAGAGUUUUUUUAUCACGAGUUGAUCCUGGGUUUCGCAUCACUUAGCGGAGUGUAAUUCUUACACUUACUUUGUUCGUCCUUCUUUCUGUGAGAUGGAGUAGCUCCUUUGAUCUCCUUCAUGGGCUCGUCUCUUGGGCUUUUGAAUUUGCUUUUGAUUUGGCCUCUUGUCUUCUUUUAAUGCCUAAACCUCAUCAUCCAACCUAAUAUACUUUUGGGCGUUGUCUAUCAACUGUUGGUAUGCCGCGACUGGAUUUUUAAUUAAGAAAUCCAUGAACUUGACAUUGCAAGUUACUUUCUUUAACGCCUCACAUGCUAUCUCAUGAUUCAACUCUUCCACCUGUAUGGUUUCAGCAUUGAAAUGAGAAAUAAAACUCCUUAAAGACUCACCUUCUCUCUAGCGAAUCUUCCACAAGUCACAGGAAAAUUUUUGGAAGGUAUACAAGUGAUAAAUCUAGAUUUGAAUAUCGUAGCAAACUGUGUAAAGUUUUAAAUCAAACAUGGGCUUAAGUGUUUAUGCCAUUUUUUAGCCAAACCUGUAAGUGUUGAUGGAAAUACUCGACAUAACAUAAUAUCAUUUGUAUCUUGAAGCUGCAUGGUCAUCCUAAAAAUGGCCAGAUGACUUCUGGGGUCUGUCGUUUCAUCGUAUUUGUCUAAAUUGGACAACUUGAACUUGGCGAGAAAGGUUUCCGCUAGUAAUUCUUUCGAAUGAGGUGAGACACCAUCUAAAUUGAAAUCCUCUUUAUGUUCCUUUUGGUAUCUUCAUACGGCCCGUACUAACUUUCAAUCCACUCCUUUUGGAGUUUCAUUCAAUUCAUCUUCAGAUUUAGACUUUCAUUUAUGCCGCAAUUUGGUCGCUUUCGUCUGAGCCCUUAGGGGUAUCUACGGAGGCUUCAUCCCUUCUUUUAGGAUCCAUUUUAGAUGCCUCUUCUCGAGUCUUAUACUGUCCGAGAGUAGCAUACAACCUUUAGAUAUACUGGAGUAUCUGUUCGUUAUUUAAAUUAUUAAGAUCUGCUUUGUUGAUCACUAGGCAACAUGUUUUCUCAAUUAUCUAGGGUAAAGGAAACGAUGUCUCCCUCAUUGGUAGCAAUGUUGACAGCAGUUGUAGGAAUUUCGGCCAUUUUGAGUGAGGAAAGAUGAUAGAAAAUCGGUCGUGAUCCAAAAGAGGGUUUAAUAGAUUUCCUGACAACGGAACUAAAUGAUGUUUAUGAGAUUAAGCUGAUAACGUGGCUACAAUGGUACUAUGAUAUGGUUGGUAGAAACCUACAAGAAAGGAGACAUGAGGCGGUGGUAGGUGUUCAUGGCAAUCACUUUGACAUGAAGAUAACAGAGAGAAUACAAUAGAUGACUCAGAGUAUUUAUAGUAUUAGAGAUAGCAUAUUUACCUCUGUGGUCGUUCCCCUUUUAUACUAUAAGAAAAUGAAGAUAAAUAUAGUAUUUUUUGAAAAUCCGACAAUUAUGUGGCCUGCUGCUCGAUAAGGGACAUUGCCAACUAAUAAGUCGAUGAUUUCGCGAUCAUAGACGAAAUGGGAGUAUGUUGGAUUAUGCCUGAUAACGGUGAUUCUAUGCCAAGACUCGACCUAUUGGGGAGGGCAAUUCUUGUUGAUAAAUUGGGGUUACAGUAUCCGGAGCUCCCUUUCUUUGGAUGAGACGGUUUUUUCACUUAUCAAAUUUUUGUCACGUAAUUUUGUUUUAUGGUGAUAUCUUAUAAUUUAUUUUGAGCGGAUGUUAUGAAAUAUUAUUUAUAAAAUUAUCAAAAUAUAGAAAUGAUAUAUUUAAAAAAAAAAAUCAUUUUCCUUAAAGUUACCAAGAAGACACCAUAUUCUAAAAGAUCCACCUUUGAACUCUUAUAUGAAGCAAUUGGCCUAGUUAGUUUUUACAAUAGUACUUAAAACCCUGGAGCUCUUACCUUUUUAACUAAAAAGAAAUUUUUUUUCAUUGAUUAAUUUUUCUACGUGUUUUAAAUAGCUAAAAAUGAAAAAAAAAUUCCCUAAAUUUUUUUUGAUUUAUUCACCCAUUAUUUAAUAGAAUCUACCUCUUGUAAUAUUUGAGACUCGAUGUAACAAAAACUGCAAUGAAAACUUUGCAACCAUGGGAAGACCCUAUGAAAUACGAGGCAGCAUAAACUAACAUAGCAAGGGUUAGAAUUUUAAAAUGGGAGAUUUACAAUUUAGUCCCUGAAUAUUGCCAUUAUUAAUAAGUCAGUCCCUGUAUUUUUAGAAACCUAUUAAAACAUCCUUAUCUUUUCUCUCCGUCAACGAAAUAGUCCUUCCGUCUAUUUUUACUGUUAAAAAUAUAGUAAAAGACCAAAUUACCCCUCUUCUUUUCCUUUUUCUCCUCCUCAUUUUUCUUCUUCAUCAAAUCUUCCUCCUUCUUCUGCUUCUUCUGCUUCUGCUUCUGCUUUUGCUUCCGCUUCUUCUUCUUCUUUUGCUUCUUCUACUUCUUCUCCUGCUUCUUCUUCUUCUUCUUCUUCUUCUUCUUCUUUUUCUUCUUUUUCUUCUUCUUCUUCUUCUUCUUCUUCUUCUUCUGCUUCUUCUCCUUCUUCUUCUUCUUCUUCUUCUUUUUCUUCUUCUCCUUCUUCUUCUUCUCCUUCUUCUUCUUCUCCUUCUUCUUCUUCUUCUUCUUCUUCUUCUUCUUCUUCUUCUUCUUCUUCUUUUUCUUCUUUUGCUUCUGCUUCUUCUCCUUCUUCUUCUUCUCCUUCUUCUUCUUCUUCUCCUUCAUCAUCAUCAUCAUCUUCUUCUUUUUUGAGGAGGAGGAGGAGGAGGAGGAGGAGGAGAGACUAUUUCGUUGACGGAAAGAAACGAUAAGGACAUUUUAAUAGAUGUGAGAAAAGAUAGGGACUAUUUCGUUGACAAAAAGAAACAAUAAGGACGUUUUAAUAGAUAUGAGAAAAGAUAAAGACGCUUUAAUAGAUUUCUGAAAAUAUAGGGAGGGACGAUUUCGUUGACGGAAAGAAAAGAUAAGGAGGGACUAUUUCGUUGACGGAAAGAAACGAUAAGAACAUUUUAAUAGAUAUAAUAAAAGAUAUGGACUAUUUCAUUGACGGAAAGAAAUGAUAAGAAUAUUUUAAUAGAUAUGAAAAAAAAUAAAAACGUUUUAAUAGAUUGUUAAAAAUGUAGAGACUAACUUGUUAAUAAUAGCAAUAUCCAAGGACUAAAUAAGGGGUUUUAUUUGAGGGUAAAAUUGGAUUUUAAAAAUUUUCUCUCUCCUCUUUUAUCUAAUUUUAACGGAAAAGAGGACGGAAGAACUAUUUCGUUGACAGAAAGGAAAGAUAAGAACGUUUUAAUAGAUUUCUAAAAAUAUAGGGACUGACUUGUUAAUAAUGGCAAUAUUAUUUGAGGGUAAAAUUGGAUUUUAAAAAUUUUCUCUCUCCUCUUUUAUCUAAUUUUAACGGAAAAGAGGACGGAAGAACUAUUUCGUUGACAGAAAGGAAAGAUAAGAACGUUUUAAUAGAUUUCUAAAAGUAUAGGGACUGACUUGUUAAUAAUGGCAAUAUCCAUGAACUAAAUUAUAAAUCUCCCAUUAUUAAAUUCUAUCAUGCUGAAAAAAAAAGAAAAAAAUAAAUUAAAAAUUAAAAUAACAUAAGGAAGAGCUUUAAAUAUCGAGAAGAGUCCAUUUGGACUUGUAAUUUCUAGUGCUUCUUUCAUUUCGUUUGACGGAUAGCCAAAUCCCAAUUCGAUCUAAAUAAUAUUUCUCAAUAUUUUUCAUUUAAUUUAAAUAAUUAAUCUGUAUUGUUAAAUUUUAGAUAAUUAUAUAUUAAUCUCAUUAUAUCCCUGUUUUUUAACGAUGUGGGACUACUGCCACAGAUAGAUAUCAAUAAAACAAAUUAUUUAAUUGUAAAGUAAUAACCAUUAUUUUGGAGAACUAUUAUUUUAUUUCUAAAAAUAAAAUAGUAGAUUAGUGAGUCAUACAAAAUUGGGAGACAUCUUGUCAAGUUCUCUCUGUCUGUCGCAUAUCAAAAUAAAUAUUAAUUAUCUUUAUAUAUAUAUAUAUAUAAAAAAAAAACAGUUUUUCAGAAUUUAUUUUAUUCAUUCAUCAAAUGUAAACUAUGAUUAUUUUCUGUCUAUUUAAUCAUAUCUUUGAUUAGAUUAUCUAACCAACAGUAUGAAGAUCCACCCUCCAUUAAAGCUCCUCUGCUUUUUUCACUCAUCUCCUUCACCUUCUUCCUUCUAUCACUAUCAUGCUUCAUCAAACACCUUAUUCCUCUCUCUAUUUGAUCACAUUUCACAAUUUCUCCACUGUCAUUUCUAUAAUCCAUUUUAAUUUCAACUGCUAAUCCCAACUCAAUCACCAUUUGAAAGGCAUUGAAUUGCUGUUCUGCAUACAUUGGCCAUGUGGCAACUGGGACUCCAAACCAUAUGCUCUCUAAUAUAGAAUUCCAUCCACUGUGAGAAACAAAUCCUCCGGUGGCCGGAUGAGCCAAGACAGCCACUUGAGGAGCCCAACCUAUCACCUUUCCAAUCCCAGAUGUUCUUUCCAAGAAUCCUUCAGGUAAGACUUCUUGUAGAUCCUCAUAGUCACUCGGAGAUUCUAGAAAACCCGGCGCCGGUGGUCGGCGUAGAGACCAUAAGAAUCGAUGCCCACUAUUCUCUAGAGCACAAGCAAUCUCUUUCACUUGAUCUUUACUGAAACUUCCAUUGCUUCCAAAGCAUAAGAACACUACGGAUGAUGGAGGUUGAUCAUCAAGCCAUUGCAUGAUUUCUUGAUUAGUGUUUCUUCCAUUUGACCUCACGUCUAAGAUGGGUCCUACGGGGUAGAUUGGAGGGUCUUUGAAAGACUCAAUCGCAUGGGAUUCCAGCUCGAAGAACGUAUUUAUUAUAACACCCUUAGCUUCUCCGUAUCUUCUUGUAUUUUCAAGUAGAGGGGGAAACCAUUGUUUGCUCAAAAUUGCAGUAGGCAUAGCCUUAGAAGGAAAUGAGUUUACUAAACCCGGAACUUGUAACUCACCAUCUGACGCGUUGAACUCAGUGGGGUUAAAAUUUUCUUCGUCAUGAAUCUUUUGCACAUGAAGCAUGAAAUUGAGAAAAGCUGCACCCGACGUGUAGAAAAUGUAAGAUGGAACACCAAAUUCAUUCGCCACAUCUAUCAUCGCUGUGCAGAACAUAUCAACAAUGAAACCCACCAACCGAGGCGACUCAACACUUGAACCAGACUCAGUGAUCUUCAUCACAGAUUCUUUAACAUGGGGUUUCUGUUUCUCAAUCAAAGAAGAGAAACUAGAAAUUCCAGUCUCAUCUCUGGGCAGAUAAAUGAAUCGGAGACGAUUGGAGGAGGAAGCAAUCUGAGAAUCAACAUAGUUAUGAACUUUGGAGGUAACUACAGAAUUAUUGAAGAUAAGUACAGUGAUGGAGAGACUGUGACAGCGGCUAAGAAGAAGCUUCGCUGUUUCCACAGCCGAUACAAGGUGGCCCAUAGCAGGGGCGGGGACGAACACAAGCUGUGCUUUUUCCAUUUUUGGAAAUGAUACAAUAUUCUUAUUUUUGCUGCCAAGUAUCGAAGAUGGGAUGAGGACGAUGAUGAUAAGCUUGAAGUAUUUGUAGCCAUAGUGCUACUUGUGGGUGUUGCAAUAAGACAAGAACUGUUUUGUUCUUUCUCUAAGUAUUCUAACCAGACGGGUUAACCUUGGCGGCCAAGAAUUCAAUUGACAUCAUGGCUUUGCUGGUUUGGUCGAUCUUAUAGACAAGGAUUCUUAUUACAAAUUAUAAAGUACACGACUGCUGACCGAGUCUGUUUGAUUUUUUGUUCUUUUCUUAAUAAAGAAAAGAAUUGCGUCUGCAUCGUUCGGCUAGAACGAAUCGCAUUCGGUCGGUUCGGUUCAAAACCGAACCGAACCGAAUAAACGGAAAAUCGAAAUUUUAGUGUUUAUGAAAAUCGAAUCGAACUGAUUUUGAUCAGAAAUCGAUUCGAACCGAACCGGUCUGAUUCGGUUCGAUUCGGUUUGGUUUGAUCAGUUUCGAUUUUUAAUAUUUUUUUUAUUUUUUACAAUUUAUUUUUAGUAUUUUAAAAUUUAAUUAAAAUAUUUUAAUUUUAAUAUGAUUUAAUUUCUCUAUAUUAUUGAAAAAAUAUAUUAUUAUCACUAAUCGAUUCGGUUCGAUUUUUUUAGUUUUUUUCUGAUCAAAAUCAAAUCAAACUAAAAUAACUGAAAUUUCUAAAAUUAAAAAUCGAACCGAAUCGAAAUGAAUAAAAAACCGAACUGAAUUUUUAAAUUAAUUCGAUUCGGUCAAUUUUUUUUAUUUGAACUAAAUACUGCUCACCCUAAUCACUCAUGCGGAAAUUCCAGUUGCCUAACCUUUAUUUUUUACUUAAUGUAAUUUUGUCUUGUUUUUUUCUUUGCAUUUGCGUAACAAAAAAUAACUUUUUUUACCAUAAUUUUUCUAGAUAUUUAAAACUGUUAAGAGGGUAUUUUACCGGUUGAAAUGAUACUGAAUCCUGAGUUUUAUAAGUUGAGUUAAAAUUCUGAUCCAGAAUUCCAAAAUUAAGAGGUAUGCCAUAGGCAAUAAUAUUGGACGGCCUUGGCAACAAAAACAAAAAGAUAAGUCAAAUAAAAGUGAUUUUUUUAUCCUACAAAUCAACAUUUGCAUAACACCGCUGCAACUUGCAACAAAGUUUCAUUAUAAUAAGAACCAUAAUUUAUCAAUUAAUAUUAUUAUCAAUUCAAUAUUAAUAAAUUUCACAUGUAAAAUUUAGCUAUCAUAUCUGUAACGGUAUUUAUUUGAUAAAAAAUUUAUUGGAAGGAAACAUCUGAAAUGUGAGAGCAAAUAUAAAGAGUACCCAUAUAAUUGAAAUCAUAAUUUCCCACAGUAUAGCAGACGACAAACUAUAAAUAGCAUUACAACCAUUAGCAGAAUCAAUUUCACAUACAAUAGAUUGAAAGACCAUAUCAUAUGUUUUUUUUACUACCGCCAGCACAACAAAAGCCUCCCUUGCUACAACAGAAUAACAUCAUAUUCUCAUAGCAAUACCAUGCAUAAUCAUACUUGUACUAUUUCUAGCUACCACAAUAAUAAAAGCAGAAGAAAACUGAUCCAACCAUGCCACAUCACUAUUAAGCUUGAUACAUCUCAAAGGAUGACACGAAACAGCAACUAAAAAAAAUCUACAUGGCUGAGAGGAAGAAUUAACAAAAACAACAGUAUAUUGAAAUAGGCUGAAAUCAAUAGAGAUAUAAUAUGAUGUAGCGAUAGAAUCAGGCUGCACAAAUUCAAAAACACUUUUAUUUCUUUCAUUCCAAAUAUGUCAUAGAGUAAGUGUAGUCAAGAUCAGGAACAGAAGCCCUCUAUGUCCAUUUGAAACCUUUCAAGUAAGGUUUCCCACCAUAUUGCAAAAUUAGGAAAGUCAACAAAUCAGGUUUAUAACCACAAAAACUAAUGAGUUAAAAUGUACGAGCAUAUGGAUGCCAAAAAAAAAACAUGUUCUAAAAUUUCAGAUGAAGACCGACAAAUGGAGCACCUAUGGUCUUGCAAAAUACUUCAUCAAAUCAAAGUAACAGAGACUCUGAUAAUGCAUUGUAAAAGGACGCCAAAGAAAAAUUUAUAAUUUUGGAGGAACCUAAAAAAAUCAUAUGUGCUACGUAGUUUGGUGUAUACCAAAUGAAGAAUAAGGCAUAGAUAUUAUCUACUGAACAGAUGAGCUAUACAUGAGUUACUUACAAAAUCUUGUACUAUAUUACCCAUUACAUGCACAAUGUCAAAUAAGAGAAUUUGGCGUAUCAUCAAUCGGUGCUAUUGAAAUAGAGAGAAUAGCUAUAGCCAAAUGAUGAGUGGAUACUCGCUUCACUACUUGAUAAUUCCAGAUUAACACCCUUGGAUCAAUUAAAUCUGCCAUCCUGUCAAUGUCCACCAGCUAAAUUACAGGAUUAGGGUAAUUUGAAGCUAUCUAAUCCGAAUAUCCAUGGAUCUAACCAAAUAGACAUAUAUGACUAACAUUUUUUAGUUCCAAAUAAAAUAAAUUAUUUUAAAACUUUAAAAGAAAUAACAAUAAUUGAAAGAUGUCAAUAAAUUAAUUUCAUUUCUAAAUAAUAUAGUGAAUAAUAAAUUUUAGCCAUUAAUAAUAUAAAUUAGACUUUCACCCACAAAUUCCCGCCUACUAUAAUAUUGUCUGUUUUAUAUAAAUAUCUAGUAGAUUAUAUAUAUGUUUUAAUAAGUUAGGCUUAUUCAUCAUUAAUCCUUAUUAUUAAAAGUUGGAAAUUGAUUAGAUCUUUUUAUAUAAAUUUAAUUAAGACAAUUCAAUUUAUUAUUUAGAAUUUACAUAUUAUUUGAUUUGAUAAACAUCCUUUUUUGAGUCUCCUUAAUCAAUAGAAUUUUUUGUACUUUGGUAUGAUAAUCGAGAGAUUUUAAUAGGUCAAUAAGAGUAUAAAUUUUUUAAAUGAGUUAUUAUAAUAUAAUUUUUUUUAGUAUAGCCAUAAUAUUUUAUUAGACUAAAAUUAAAUUUUAUUUAUAUGGGAUCGCGAUUUAAGUAUCGAAUUCUCGAAUUCGAUUUUAUAAAAGAAAUUACGAAGAAAAAAUUCAAACACAAAUAAAAAAGGUUAAAAAAUUUGCUUGUAAAAGGGGAAAAAAAAAAUCAAUACUAUGUUACAUUUUAUUUAAAUUAUCCACCACAUCUUUCAGAAAUUUUCCUAAUGAUAAGUAUGAAGACCCACCAUUCCUUAAAGCCAUUCUGCUCUUCUCACUCAUCUCCUUUACCUUCUUCUUUUUCUCACUAUCAUCCUCCAUUAAACACUUGAUUCCUCUCUCAAUUUCAUCACAUUUCACAAUUUCUCCACUGUCAUUUCUAUAAUCCAUUUUAAUUUCUACUGAUAAUCCCAACUCAAUCACCAUUUCAAAGGCAUUGAACUGUUGCUCUGCAUAUAUUGGCCAUGCGGCUACUGCAACACCAAACCAUAUGCUCUCCAGCAGAGAAUUCCACCCACAGUGUGACACAAAGCCUCCCACCGCUGGAUGAGCCAAGACAGCCACUUGUGGAGCCCAUCCUAUCACCUUUCCAAUCCUAGCCGUUCGAUCCAAGAAGCCUUCGGGCAAGACUUCUUGUGGAUUCUCGUAGUCGCUUAACGAUGCUUCGGCGGCCGAUGGUGGCGGGUGGCGUAAAGACCACAAGAAACGAUACCCACUGUGUUCUAGAGCAUAGGCAAGUUCUUUUACUUGAUCUUUUUCAAGACUUCCAUUGCUUCCGAAACAUAUGAACACUACUGAUGAAGGAGGCUGUUCAUCAAGCCAUUUCAUGAUUUCUGGGUGCGUAUUUCUUCCAUCUGAACUCACAUCUAGAAUCGGUCCCACAGGGUAAAUGGGAGGCAUUAUCAAAGACUCGAUUGCAUAUGAUUCUAGCUCCAAAAAUGUAUUUACUACAAUACCCUUAGCUUCUUGAAACCUUCUUAUGCUGUCGAAUAAAGUAGGAAGCAACUCUCUGAUCAACAUUGCAGAAGGCAUAACCCUACCAGUAAACGAGUUUACCAAACUUGGAACUCGUAACUCAGCAUCCGAGUUCUUAAACUCAACCGGGUCAAAUUUCUCUUCAUCGUGAAUCUUCUGCACGUAGAGCAUGAAACCAAGAAAUGCUGCACCUGAAGUGACAAAAAUAUAAGACGGAAAACCCAAGUCAUUAGCCACAUCAAUCAUCGGCGUGCAGAACAUAUCUAUGAUAAAACCUGCAAGUCGAGGUGCAGGUGAGUCGGCGGCCAACUCAGAUUGAGUGAUCUUCAACACAGCUUCUUUAACAUGGGGUUUCUGUCUCUCAAAAAAAGAAACAAAGUCUAAUAAUUCAAGCUCGUCUUUGGGCAGAACAAUAAAUUGGAGACGAUUGGGUAUGGUGGAGGAGGAAGCUUGAAGCGAUUCAAUGUAGCUAUGAAACUGACUGGGGUUGCCGGAAGAGAGGUUGAGGACAAGGACAGUGAUCGAUAAUCGGUGAUCGUGGGUAAGAAGAAGCUUCGCAAACUCUACUGCAGAUACUAGAUGGCCCAUGCGAGGCCAGGGUAUGAAGACGAGCUGCGCUUUCUCCAUUUUACUCAAGAUACUACACCGUUUGCAGCAAAGUAUAGAAGAUAAAGAAUUUGUUUGCUGCACUAGCUACUUGUGCUUAGUGUUGGACUUGAACGUCCCUUUAAGUAAAGAGCCAUGAAUGAAAACUGACGUCAGGGCUUUGCUGAGUGGUCUGAUCACUAUCGGCAAAUAUUUAUUUAGUAAAAUAUUAUAUCGUUUUGGAAAAAUUACUUUUAAUCCUUACACUAUAGCCUAAUUAAUAAAUUUAUUCAUUUAAUUUUAAAAUCUAACACUUUCAUCUUUAAAAUUUAAUUUAAUUGAAAUUAAAAGUAUUUCUGUAAAAAAUAUAGUUAGUGACAGAAAAAAUAACCGAACUACUCUAUCUAUAACUCAACAUUUAGUCUUUUUAAUUUAAUUCUUAUAAAUUUAAAAAUGCCUCUCUCAAAAAAUUAAAGGAAAAAUACCUUUUUAUUCCUAAAAUAUUAUAUAAUUAAUAUAUUUAUCCUUAAAAAAAUCUAAAAUAUCCCUAGUAUAAAGAGACUAAUUAAUAAAUUUUUUAAUAAUUUAAAAAACUAACUAAUAAUUUUUUUUAAACUAUAAGAACUAAAUAAUAAAAUUUUUAGUGAUAAAAUUAAUAGAGAAAAUAACCGGUAGACUUUUUAAAAUAUUAUAAAAUUAAUAGAAAAAUUAACUAAUAGUAUUUUUAAAAUUUCAGAUAUAUUUUAAUAUAUUUUUUAAAAUUAAAAGAUUAAAUAGUGAAUUUUUUCAUAUUAUAAAAAUUAAAUAGUAAUUUUUUUAUUUUAUUAUUAAUAUGUACAUUUUUUAAAUUAUGUUUAUUCUCUUUCUUUUAUUAAAUAAAAAUUAUUAAUUUAAUAGAAAUUUUUAGUAGAAAAAUUUUGAAUUUUAAUAAAAUUAAAUUUUAAAAUUGAAAGUGUUAAAUUUUAAAAAUAAAAAAAUAAACUUAUUAAUUAUAUCAUAUAAAUUAAAAACUAAAAAAUAAUUUUACCCAUCAUUUUAUUUUCCGGAUGAAGUUUAAUUUGAUAUUACUAAAAUUAUGUUUGAAAUUAUAGACUUUCAUUUAAAAUUCAAUAAAAAAAAUUAUCCUCCUAAUUCUUUCAAGCACUCUCCAUCUUGAAAUAUAUUUUUUUAUUUAUCUCAAUUUAUUUUAUAGGUUUUUAAUAUAUAUAUAUAUAUAUAUUUAUUGGUAAGUCUUUAUUUAAUAUAUUUUAAUUAAAAAUAAAGAUAUUUUAAUUUUAAAAGCAGGAAGGAAAGUUGGAUCACUGGGUGGAGGCAAAUAAUUAAAAGAAGUUUUUUCUUUUUUUGAUGUGACAUUCCAUUAACUGUUCAGCGACUUUAAUUUGUCUUUGUUGGCUGUUUGUUGCUUGUAUGUUUUUUUUGUUAAAUCUCCAAUAAAUUAUCAAAUAAACUAUUCUUAGUAAGACAAUAAGUUAAUGAUUCCUUUCCAAUAGACGUGAGACAGAUGGACGACUGGUUUUGUAAACGCUUGCAUGACCAAUUAAAUUCUUGUUUGAAAUAAUUUACUUUUUGAAAAAUAUAGUUUUUAGAAUUUUGUUUAUUAAAAUUGUAGUUUGGUUUGAAAUAAUUUACUUUUUAAAAAAUAUAGUUUUUAGAAAUUUAUUUAUUAAAAGAAGAAUAUAAUUUAAAUUCUAGUUUUUUUUAAAGCAAUUUAAAUUCCAGUUAAAUAAAUUAUUUCCUUUGAAUGAGAGAAGUAAAAUAUUUUAUUUAUUCAAAACUUAACUUGAAAAUAUAAAUUAAAUAUUCUCAAAAAAUAAUACUUUGUUAAUUAUCCAAAAAUCAAAAAAAUAAAAUUUUACGGUACGAAAAUAAACUUAACUUUAAAAAAUUAUAUAUUUUUAUUUAUUUAUUUAUUUUUUAUUUUUCAAAAACGUAUAAUUGUCAUCCUACUAUCGUGUCACUUAUUUUUAUCAUUCAAAUCUGUACAUAUAGAUGUAUCAGCAUACCCCUAUCAGACAGCUAUUUAAUUUUCUGUGAGAUUAUUGAGUCUACUCUCCUAUUUUCCAUUAUAUCAUCGUGCUAGACUAUCAUCUGAUGGAUCCGCACAUAAAAUCAAUCCGGCCUACUUUAAUUGCGGGCUGAAAUGUGUAAUAUUGAAUCGAUCUGCUGUAAGAGUUACGAUGAAUUUUUAGAUUUAUAAUUUUUUUUAGAGUCUAGCUUUACCCAAAAUAUAAAAAAUCCGAGAAUCAUCACCAUACCAACUAACACUACAAAUUCUACCAUCCAUGUCUCUUACAAAUGCUACUCUUUCUAUUCUGCUUAACAGCACAAUCAAAAUAGAAAUUUUAUUACAAUUUCAUCACAUCAUUUAUAAAACGAUCUAACCAAUAGUACGAAGAACCACCAUCCAUCAAAGCCUUUCUGCUCUUCUCACUCAUCACCUUCACUUUCUUCCUUCUAUCGCUAUCAUGCUUCAUCAAACACCUGAUUCCUCUCUCUAUUUCAUCACAUUUCACAAUUUCUUCACUGUCAUUUCUAUAAUCCAUUUUAAUUUCAACUGCUAAUCCCAACUCAAUCACCAUUUGAAAGGCAUUGAAGUGUUGUUCUGCAUACAUUGGCCAUGUGGCAACUGGGACACCAAACCAUAUGCUCUCUAAUAUAGAAUUCCAUCCACAAUGAGAAACAAAUCCUCCAAUGGCUGGAUGGGCU
This 19733-nucleotide long non-coding RNA is filed under the name Manihot esculenta (cassava). Its description in RNAcentral is "long non-coding RNA (MESC_LNC003776)". Lineage: Eukaryota; Viridiplantae; Streptophyta; Magnoliopsida; Malpighiales; Euphorbiaceae. The record is from RNAcentral.